This 301-nucleotide ribosomal RNA is filed under the name uncultured bacterium. Its description in RNAcentral is "partial 16S ribosomal RNA". It matches the Rfam family "Bacterial small subunit ribosomal RNA", at positions 512 to 815 of the family's 1533-position model. The record is from RNAcentral.
CAGCCGCGGUAAUACGUAGGUGGCAAGCGUUGUCCGGAAUUAUUGGGCGUAAAGGGCUCGCAGGCGGUUUCUUAAGUCUGAUGUGAAAGCCCCCGGCUCAACCGGGGAGGGUCAUUGGAAACUGGGAAACUUGAGUGCAGAAGAGGAGAGCGGAAUUCCACGUGUAGCGGUGAAAUGCGUAGAGAUGUGGAGGAACACCAGUGGCGAAGGCGACUCUCUGGUCUGUAACUGACGCUGAGGAGCGAAAGUGUGGGGAGCGAACAGGAUUAGAUACCCCCGUAGUCCCUGUCUCUUAUACACA